ACCGGCGGCUCGAGUGGUGGCCACUAUUACUGGGCUUAAAGCGUUCGUAGCUGGCUUGUUAAGUCUCUGGGGAAAUCUUCCGGCUCAACCGGAAGGCUGCUCAGGGAUACUGGCAGGCUAGGGAACGGAAGAGGUGAGAGGAACUGCAAGGGUAGGAGUGAAAUGCUGUAAUCCUUGGGAGAACACCUGUGGCGAAGGCGUCUAACCAGGACGGAUCCGACAGUGAGGCACGAAAGCUGGGGGAGCAAACAG
Molecule: ribosomal RNA, 252 nt
Filed under: uncultured prokaryote
Description: partial 16S rRNA
Rfam family: Archaeal small subunit ribosomal RNA
Source: RNAcentral